UCUGGAGCAGAAACACUUAACAGAGCCCGAGCUCGAGCUGUCUCCUACACGCUGCUGAGCCUGUGCUAAUGGGCGCUGCUUGAUUGGGGCCUUGGCCCGCUGCUGUAUCAGAGCUGACCACGGAUCAACAGAGGAAUAAGGCGUAUUUUCUCGCGGAGCGAAGCUGGACUGAGAAAGCUCGCCGGGGUCAAGGUCGCAUCCCUCAGUAAGGUGACCGCGCGCGCUUCUCCAUUCAAACCUGCGUGCGCCGCAGCAAGGGAUGAAGAGAAGAGCGGUCAGCGGAAAAGCACGAGGGUUCAGCAGCUCUGGCUUUGACUUGGAUAUGGGACUGCCUUGGUGGCUCAUAAACAUGGGGAGCAGGUCUCUCUGAAAGGCCUUUCACACACCCCGCCUUCCUCCGGCCAACCUGGCAGGCCCUUCCCAGAGUGACUACGCAUAAUUUCCUUUCG
Molecule: long non-coding RNA, 449 nt
Organism: Colossoma macropomum (tambaqui)
Lineage: Eukaryota; Metazoa; Chordata; Actinopteri; Characiformes; Serrasalmidae
Exons: 3
Source: RefSeq, a predicted model, not a curated record